ACAGUAGAGGCGCGCCUGUUAAAUAGUAGGCUGUCACAGGCAAGCGGUUGCCGCGUUAAUGACAGCUCGAAAGGUGACGGCGCCGAAGUCUGUCGGAUUUCCGCUCCCGGCAAGGCUGGGGGUACGGUAAACAGCCGUAUCACUGUCAUCCUACGGAUGGAGAGCUACGAU
This 171-nucleotide non-coding RNA is filed under the name pig gut metagenome. RNAcentral describes it as "Lysine riboswitch". It matches the Rfam family "Lysine riboswitch aptamer". From Rfam's summary of the family: Riboswitches are metabolite binding domains within certain messenger RNAs that serve as precision sensors for their corresponding targets. Allosteric rearrangement of mRNA structure is mediated by ligand binding, and this results in modulation of gene expression. The record is from RNAcentral.